Molecule: long non-coding RNA, 700 nt
Organism: Setaria italica (foxtail millet)
Lineage: Eukaryota; Viridiplantae; Streptophyta; Magnoliopsida; Poales; Poaceae
Exons: 3
Source: RefSeq, a predicted model, not a curated record
GCGGCGUUCGACGCCGCGGCGACCGGCGACUGCGAGACGCGCAGCGCGCUCCUCGCCUCCACCUUUGACUUAACCACCAGGCCGGACGUUCAAGUUCCUCAAUCCUCAGGCACUCUACGGCGCUGAUCACCGAGCCGGCCGUCACGCAAGCCAUUUGAGGCGGACAUCCCCGCAGGCUGAUCGCCGACGCCGUCUCGUCUUCGUGCGCGAAUUCGCCGUCGCGGGCGUGCGCUUCUGCCGCAAGUGCCGCGUCUGUACUCUGCGGAUCCGUACAGUAUGCUGGUUACAGUGGUUACCACUCCAUGUUACAUAUUGGCACCUGGUCCUCAAUUUGUGCCUCUGCAAUUCUGGAUCAUUCUAAUUGGAAACUUCAUUGCGUCCAGUCUUCCAUCGGCAAAUUUGUUUGGAUUUGGUUGGCAAAGGAGACUUCGCCAAGCUUUUAUUGAGAAAGAUUUACUGGUGGUGGGCCUGGUGGCCAGCCAAAUUGACAUAUGGGAGCAAGUGCCAAGUGAUGAAGGCGACAUGAUAUUUCUUUAGUAACAUCAUACACAUCUGCAAGGAUUCUGCACUCAAGUGUUUAUCUCAUUCAGUUGUGUCACGGGUAUUUUAGAUUGCUAUUACUUGUAAUAGGUGAUUGCAUCGCAUCAGGAAAACUAUCUCGAAUAUCUUAUUGGAACAAUGAUGCCGACGUGUGAUUAGA